RNAcentral lists this long non-coding RNA (549 nucleotides) under Pongo abelii (Sumatran orangutan). Its description in RNAcentral is "lncRNA (ENSPPYG00000039670.1)". Lineage: Eukaryota; Metazoa; Chordata; Mammalia; Primates; Hominidae. The record is from RNAcentral.
GUCUCUGGCUGCAGCGGGAGGUCAAGGUCUCUUCCUUACUGCUGUGUGUCCUCUGCUCCUAGAGGCCCAGCCUCUGUGGCCCUGUGACCUGCAGGUAUUGGGAGAUCCACAACUAAGUCGCCAGGACCCCCUGGAAGCCUGGAAAUGGUAUUGCUGCCUUUAAGCCAGACCUGAUCAUUUUUCUGGAGCAAGGAAAAGAGCCCUGGAAUAUGAAGAGACAUAAGAUGGUGGAAGAACCCCCAGACAGAGUCUCGCACUGUCAUCCGGGCUGGAAUGCAAUGGUGCAAUCUUGGUUCACUGCAACCUCCACAUCCUGGGUUCACACAAUUCUCCUGCCUCAGCCUCCCGAGUAGCUGGUAUUACAGGUGCACACCACCACACCCGGAUAAUUUUUUGUAUUUUUAGUAGAGAUGGGGUUCACUAUGUUGGCCAGACUGGUCUUGAACUUCUGACCUUGUGAUCUACCACUGUCAGCCUCCCAAAGUGCUGGGAUUACAGGUGUGAGCCACCGCACCUGGCCAACUUUCAUCUUUGAAUAAAAUGUCUAUU